AUGGACGGCAACAAGACUGCCGCCCGGCCGGCCAGCCUACGGGCGUUCUACAUCGCCCGCGCCACCGUCGUCGUCUUCGCCUUGGCCACAGCUGCCGACUACGUACUCGACCGCUACCACCUCUGCAGCAGCCAGAGCCAGGCUUCCUUCAUCCUGCCGUGCGUCAGGGUGACGGCGGCGGCCGCCGAGUGGAGGGCCCUCUGGCUCGCCAUGCUCUGCUGCGCGGUGCUCGAGGUGACCGUCGCGGCGCUGGCGCUGCGGCACCCAUGCCGCGCCCUGGCCCUCGCCUACCUCCACCGCGCGCUCACCAUCGUCCGCCACUACAUGUACGUCCGUGCCACCCUCAUCUUCCUCGCCGCCGACCCAGGAGUCUACCUCACCGAGAUCUGCAUCGGGAGCGUCUGCAACUUCAUAACGGACUACCACUUUAGCUUCAUGGGGCUUUUCCGUUUUGGAGGCGAGGUGUGA
This 468-nucleotide ribosomal RNA is filed under the name Triticum aestivum (bread wheat). Its description in RNAcentral is "partial small subunit ribosomal RNA". Lineage: Eukaryota; Viridiplantae; Streptophyta; Magnoliopsida; Poales; Poaceae. The record is from RNAcentral.